RNAcentral lists this ribosomal RNA (249 nucleotides) under uncultured bacterium. RNAcentral's name for it is "partial 16S ribosomal RNA". It matches the Rfam family "Bacterial small subunit ribosomal RNA", at positions 524 to 775 of the family's 1533-position model. The record is from RNAcentral.
UACAGAGGUCUCAAGCGUUGUUCGGAUUCAUUGGGCGUAAAGGGUGCGUAGGUGGCGCUGUAAGUCGGGUGUGAAAUUUCGGAGCUUAACUCCGAAACUGCAUUCGAUACUGCGGUGCUUGAGGACUGGAGAGGAGACUGGAAUUCAUGGUGUAGCAGUGAAUGCGUAGAGAUCAUGAGGAAGACCAGUGGCGAAGGCGGUCUCUGGACAGUUCCUGACACUGAGGCACGAAGGCCAGGGAGCGAACGG